RNAcentral lists this ribosomal RNA (503 nucleotides) under uncultured bacterium. RNAcentral's name for it is "partial 16S ribosomal RNA". It matches the Rfam family "Bacterial small subunit ribosomal RNA", at positions 355 to 875 of the family's 1533-position model. The record is from RNAcentral.
UGGGGAAUAUUGGACAAUGGGGGCAACCCUGAUCCAGCAAUGCCGCGUGUGUGAAGAAGGUCUUCGGAUUGUAAAGCACUUUCGACGGGGACGAUGAUGACGGUACCCGUAGAAGAAGCCCCGGCUAACUUCGUGCCAGCAGCCGCGGUAAUACGAAGGGGGCUAGCGUUGCUCGGAAUGACUGGGCGUAAAGGGCGUGUAGGCGGUUUACACAGUCAGAUGUGAAAUCCCCGGGCUUAACCUGGGAGCUGCAUUUGAUACGUGUAGACUAGAGUGUGAGAGAGGGUUGUGGAAUUCCCAGUGUAGAGGUGAAAUUCGUAGAUAUUGGGAAGAACACCGGUGGCGAAGGCGGCAACCUGGCUCAUGACUGACGCUGAGGCGCGAAAGCGUGGGGAGCAAACAGGAUUAGAUACCCUGGUAGUCCACGCUGUAAACGAUGUGUGCUAGAUGUUGGGUAACUUUGUUAUUCAGUGUCGCAGUUAACGCGUUAAGCACACCGCCUG